RNAcentral lists this ribosomal RNA (1230 nucleotides) under Bacillus sp. (in: firmicutes). RNAcentral's name for it is "bacterial SSU rRNA". It matches the Rfam family "Bacterial small subunit ribosomal RNA", at positions 98 to 1315 of the family's 1533-position model. Lineage: Bacteria; Bacillati; Bacillota; Bacilli; Caryophanales; Bacillaceae. The record is from RNAcentral.
GCGGACGGGUGAGUAACACGUGGGUAACCUGCCUGUAAGACUGGGAUAACUCCGGGAAACCGGAGCUAAUACCGGAUAGUUCCUUGAACCGCAUGGUUCAAGGAUGAAAGACGGUUUCGGCUGUCACUUACAGAUGGACCCGCGGCGCAUUAGCUAGUUGGUGGGGUAAUGGCUCACCAAGGCGACGAUGCGUAGCCGACCUGAGAGGGUGAUCGGCCACACUGGGACUGAGACACGGCCCAGACUCCUACGGGAGGCAGCAGUAGGGAAUCUUCCGCAAUGGACGAAAGUCUGACGGAGCAACGCCGCGUGAGUGAUGAAGGUUUUCGGAUCGUAAAGCUCUGUUGUUAGGGAAGAACAAGUGCGAGAGUAACUGCUCGCACCUUGACGGUACCUAACCAGAAAGCCACGGCUAACUACGUGCCAGCAGCCGCGGUAAUACGUAGGUGGCAAGCGUUGUCCGGAAUUAUUGGGCGUAAAGGGCUCGCAGGCGGUUUCUUAAGUCUGAUGUGAAAGCCCCCGGCUCAACCGGGGAGGGUCAUUGGAAACUGGGAAACUUGAGUGCAGAAGAGGAGAGUGGAAUUCCACGUGUAGCGGUGAAAUGCGUAGAGAUGUGGAGGAACACCAGUGGCGAAGGCGACUCUCUGGUCUGUAACUGACGCUGAGGAGCGAAAGCGUGGGGAGCGAACAGGAUUAGAUACCCUGGUAGUCCACGCCGUAAACGAUGAGUGCUAAGUGUUAGGGGGUUUCCGCCCCUUAGUGCUGCAGCUAACGCAUUAAGCACUCCGCCUGGGGAGUACGGUCGCAAGACUGAAACUCAAAGGAAUUGACGGGGGCCCGCACAAGCGGUGGAGCAUGUGGUUUAAUUCGAAGCAACGCGAAGAACCUUACCAGGUCUUGACAUCCUCUGACAACCCUAGAGAUAGGGCUUUCCCUUCGGGGACAGAGUGACAGGUGGUGCAUGGUUGUCGUCAGCUCGUGUCGUGAGAUGUUGGGUUAAGUCCCGCAACGAGCGCAACCCUUGAUCUUAGUUGCCAGCAUUCAGUUGGGCACUCUAAGGUGACUGCCGGUGACAAACCGGAGGAAGGUGGGGAUGACGUCAAAUCAUCAUGCCCCUUAUGACCUGGGCUACACACGUGCUACAAUGGACAGAACAAAGGGCUGCAAGACCGCAAGGUUUAGCCAAUCCCAUAAAUCUGUUCUCAGUUCGGAUCGCAGUCUGCAACUCGA